GACGAUCGCUGGCGGCGUGCUUAACACAUGCAAGUCGAACGGAAAGGCCCUGCUUUUGUGGGGUGCUCGAGUGGCGAACGGGUGAGUAACACGUGAGUAACCUGCCCUUGACUUUGGGAUAACUUCAGGAAACUGGGGCUAAUACCGGAUAGGAGCUCCUGCUGCAUGGUGGGGGUUGGAAAGUUUCGGCGGUUGGGGAUGGACUCGCGGCUUAUCAGCUUGUUGGUGGGGUAGUGGCUUACCAAGGCUUUGACGGGUAGCCGGCCUGAGAGGGUGACCGGCCACAUUGGGACUGAGAUACGGCCCAGACUCCUACGGGAGGCAGCAGUGGGGAAUAUUGCACAAUGGGCGGAAGCCUGAUGCAGCAACGCCGCGUGCGGGAUGACGGCCUUCGGGUUGUAAACCGCUUUCGCCUGUGACGAAGCGUGAGUGACGGUAAUGGGUAAAGAAGCACCGGCUAACUACGUG
This 468-nucleotide ribosomal RNA is filed under the name uncultured bacterium. RNAcentral's name for it is "partial 16S ribosomal RNA". It matches the Rfam family "Bacterial small subunit ribosomal RNA", at positions 28 to 507 of the family's 1533-position model. The record is from RNAcentral.